Molecule: long non-coding RNA, 582 nt
Filed under: Sinocyclocheilus grahami
Lineage: Eukaryota; Metazoa; Chordata; Actinopteri; Cypriniformes; Cyprinidae
Description: lncRNA (ENSSGRG00000001948.1)
Source: RNAcentral
UAAGAGCUGCACUCAACUCAUCGUUCUUUGUCAAUAUCUUGGGUCUUUCAGGUCAGUGUUCAGUACCCACAGUGCUCUGCUGUCCUGGACAUGAUAAUGGAUGCUACCGUGGGUGUUUUUGUGAUGAGGUUUGCCUCACCAUCGGUGACUGCUGUCCUGACUACAAUCAGACAUGCUUUGGAUCACAUUCACAGCCUUCAUCUCCAUCCUCACCACUACCAACAUGGAGCACAGCACACUCACCAACUUUGUCAUUAUCAUCAUCUAGAUUGCCAGUUACCUCAGCACCAUCAUCAUCCCCACAAUCAUCAACCUCUCCAAAAUUGUCAUCAUCUAUAGAACCACUAUCAGUUUGUAAUACUUGCACUGAAAAUGAGACUUGCCAGAAGAGAGGUGGUGUCUAUGGCUGUGGUUGCUUGCAAGGACAAACACCAAAUCCUGAAAUCUUUGAUGCUGUGGAAUCUUGUGCCAGCAGCACUGGCUUCAUAUCUCUAUCCCGCUGCCAGCUCUUUCAAUCUGGUUUUCGUCCUGAGUACCUGCACCUAAAUGACCCGAGCUGCAAAGGAACCCUGGAGAAUGGCA